Molecule: microRNA precursor, 98 nt
Filed under: Felis catus (domestic cat)
Lineage: Eukaryota; Metazoa; Chordata; Mammalia; Carnivora; Felidae
Description: mir-544 microRNA precursor family
Rfam family: mir-544 microRNA precursor family
Source: Rfam by way of RNAcentral
AUCACCCAGAGCUCUUGCUAAAAUGCAGAUUCUGAUGCAGCAGGUCUAUGGAAGGCCCAAGAUUCUGCAUUUCUAACAAGUUUCCAAGGUAAGGCAAU